CCUACGGUUGGCAGCAGUGGGGAAUAUUGCGCAAUGGGCGAAAGCCUGACGCAGCGACGCCGCGUGAAUGAUGAAGGUCUUCGGAUUGUAAAGUUCUUUUCUAAGGGAAGAAGAAAGUGACGGUACCUUAGGAAUAAGCCUCGGCUAACUACGUGCCAGCAGCCGCGGUAAUACGUAGGAGGCAAGCGUUAUCCGGAAUGACUGGGCGUAAAGGGUGCGUAGGUGGUUCAGCAAGUUAGUAGCGUAACUCCGGGGCUCAACCUCGGCACUACUACUAAAACUGUUGGACUUGAGUGCAGGAGGGGCAACUGGAAUUCCUAGUGUAGCGGUGGAAUGCGUAGAUAUUAGGAGGAACACCAGUGGCGAAGGCGAGUUGCUGGACUGUAACUGACACUGAGGCACGAAAGCGUGGGGAGCAAACAGGAUUAGAUACCCCGGUAGUC
RNAcentral lists this ribosomal RNA (443 nucleotides) under uncultured bacterium. Its description in RNAcentral is "partial 16S ribosomal RNA". It matches the Rfam family "Bacterial small subunit ribosomal RNA", at positions 338 to 795 of the family's 1533-position model. The record is from RNAcentral.